UAAUGAUUGAAGGUGGGUGAGCUCAGUAAACUCUCAGUGCGUUCACAGAUGCUUGAAUAUGACUCAGCUUUUAGUAGAAAUUGUGUUCCAGAUAAAUUUUCAUUUCUCACUAUUCUCUCCUGGUCUUCAUAGCUCCCAGUACAGCUCUGGGCAUAUAUACAAAUAUAUACCUUAAUUUUAACGAUAAUAUAAUCUAUUUUAUAUGUUUAUCUUUGCACCGAUCUGCUAACACAGUGCAUUUUGGUUAAGAAACUGUUGAACAGCAUUCGUCACUAACUAUAUGUAUCUUUGGAGGUGUACUAUUGGGAUUAGUACUGUCCUGUCCUGAUGACUUACCAUUAUUACAUAGAAAAAGAUGUGUUACGACUGGUAUUGACUGCAAAUUCAAAAGCUGAGAAUUUACUUACAAGGAAGAUAUAGCUUACUUAGGCAGAGUACUUGGAUUGCUUAUUAAUUGACCACAUUUUGUAGGAUAUUUUCCAGUAUGAUGAAAAAUGAACUCAAAUAUCCAAGAAGAAAGAAUGCAAGUCACAUUGGAUGGUACGUGGGAUAUUUCUAAAAUGUUGGAAGAUAACACUGUAUUCAUAAAGGUUCAGGAAGAACUAUCAGAGCAUGUUUUUUUUCACAUACCUGAUUAAGCUGAGUCAAUCAUGGAUAUGGUACUGGAAAAGCACAGUCAAUUUACAGACCCAGAUACAACUUCAGUCUAGAUGUGAAGAGACGUUCAGCUGUGUCUAGCGUGGUUGGGAGCAUAUGUGUCACACAAGGAAGGACCAGCAGAGCUCUAAUCAGUCAUUUCCUAUAAAUUGAGUCUUCAUUUGAAGACGUGUGACUUCAUCUUCUGCUGUGUUUGACCUUGGCCAUUUUGAAUUAUAAAAGCUGGUUAUAAAAUCACAGUAAUAGGUUUUCACUAUUACUUUCUAAUUUCCUACAGAGGGGUUCAACUCAUGGUGCUGGGCAAUAAGAAGGCACCAGUGUGACAAAAGACUGAGCGUUGAGAAGAACUCCUCUGUAUUGCAGCCUUUCUGCUUCACUAUCCUCAGUCUCUCUGGGUGAUGACAUAGUUCUCCAUUACCUCAAGGUGAAACGGAACAAUUAAAUGAAAUAUACAAAGAGUGUGAGAAAGUAGCUGUGACUGAGUCUGCCAAAAGGUGGAAAAGGGCAGGAAGAUGACAUUUAAUUCAGUGAGGUACAGUGUGCUUUACAAGGAUUCCUGCUCUACAAAGGUAAGAUAGCACCAAGUGUCCCACCAUUUGGGCAUUUCUCUUUUCAUCUAAACCAAGUUCCACAUAAUUUGUCCUCUGAAUAGUAAGACAUCUGUUUUUCCCGCAUGAAGCCUAGUAAGAGGAAAUUCUAUGCCAACUCAAAUCAUAACCUGGCUUAUUUGUAUUGAAUUAGUACAGUCAUUAGGAUUUUAACUAUUUUUAUUUGGUGACAGCUUGCUACUGAUACUGCCUUUGGGAAAAGCAGCUCUGUCUUUUAUGUUGCUUUUCUUAUCACUGACAGAAGAAAAUGACUGAUUGGUUUUGGCCUUUGCUUGAAACCCCUUUUCGUGACUUACUUGAGCACAUAUCCUGUAGCAAAUAGAUAUUGCUGGUGUGCACUGCCGUCUUCAUUUACCAGCCUGAACAAGCGCUG
Molecule: long non-coding RNA, 1638 nt
Filed under: Numida meleagris (helmeted guineafowl)
Lineage: Eukaryota; Metazoa; Chordata; Aves; Galliformes; Numididae
Description: lncRNA (ENSNMEG00000009053.1)
Source: RNAcentral